UGGGGAAUCUUGCGCUAAUGCGGGAAACCGUGACGCAGCGACGCCGCGUGAGGGAUGACGGCCUUCGGGUUGUAAACCUCUUUCAGCAGGGAAGAAGCGCAAGUGACGGUACCUGCAGAAGAAGCACCGGCUAACUACGUGCCAGCAGCCGCGGUAAUACGUAGGGUGCGAGCGUUGUCCGGAAUUAUUGGGCGUAAAGAGCUCGUAGGCGGUUUGUCGCGUCUGGUGUGAAAACUCGAGGCUCAACCUCGAGCUUGCAUCGGGUACGGGCAGACUAGAGUGCGGUAGGGGAGACUGGAAUUCCUGGUGUAGCGGUGGAAUGCGCAGAUAUCAGGAGGAACACCGAUGGCGAAGGCAGGUCUCUGGGCCGCAACUGACGCUGAGGAGCGAAAGCAUGGGGAGCGAACA
This 408-nucleotide ribosomal RNA is filed under the name uncultured Cellulosimicrobium sp. Its description in RNAcentral is "bacterial SSU rRNA". It matches the Rfam family "Bacterial small subunit ribosomal RNA", at positions 355 to 774 of the family's 1533-position model. The record is from RNAcentral. Lineage: Bacteria; Bacillati; Actinomycetota; Actinomycetes; Micrococcales; Promicromonosporaceae.